UACGUAGGUGGCAAGCGUUGUUCGGAAUGACUGGGCGUAAAGGGCGUGUAGGUGGACUGAUCAGUCGGGUGUGAAAUAUCCAGGCUCAACCUGGAGGGUGCAUCCGAUACGGUCAGUCUUGAGUGCAGGAGAGGGCAGUGGAAUUCCCAGUGUAGCGGUGAAAUGCGUAGAUAUCACAAGGAACACCAGAGGAGAAGUCGGGCGACUGGACAGGUACUGACGCUGAGGUGCAAAAGCGUGGGUAGCAAACAGGA
This 254-nucleotide ribosomal RNA is filed under the name uncultured prokaryote. RNAcentral describes it as "partial 16S ribosomal RNA". It matches the Rfam family "Bacterial small subunit ribosomal RNA", at positions 524 to 777 of the family's 1533-position model. The record is from RNAcentral.